AAUGAACGCUGGCGGCAUGCCUUACACAUGCAAGUCGAACGGCAGCAUGACCUAGCUUGCUAGGUUGAUGGCGAGUGGCGAACGGGUGAGUAAUGCAUCGGAACGUGCCUUUUAGUGGGGGAUAACGUAGCGAAAGUUACGCUAAUACCGCAUAUUCUCUGAGGAGGAAAGCAGGGGACCUUCGGGCCUUGCGCUAGAAGAGCGGCCGAUGUCGGAUUAGCUAGUUGGUGAGGUAAAGGCUCACCAAGGCAACGAUCCGUAGCGGGUCUGAGAGGAUGAUCCGCCACACUGGGACUGAGACAAGGCCCAGACUCCUACGGGAGGCAGCAGUGGGGAAUUUUGGACAAUGGGCGCAAGCCUGAUCCAGCCAUGCCGCGUGAGUGAAGAAGGACUUCGGGUUGUAAAGCUCUUUCGGCUGGGAAGAAAUCGCACCCUCUAAUACAGGGUGUGGAUGACGGUACCAGCAGAAGAAGCACCGGCUAACUACGUG
This 490-nucleotide ribosomal RNA is filed under the name uncultured bacterium. Its description in RNAcentral is "partial 16S ribosomal RNA". It matches the Rfam family "Bacterial small subunit ribosomal RNA", at positions 29 to 507 of the family's 1533-position model. The record is from RNAcentral.